Molecule: ribosomal RNA, 506 nt
Filed under: uncultured bacterium
Lineage: Bacteria
Description: partial 16S ribosomal RNA
Rfam family: Bacterial small subunit ribosomal RNA
Source: RNAcentral
AGUGAACGCUGGCGGUAGGCCUAACACAUGCAAGUCGAACGGCAGCACAGGAGAGCUUGCUCUCUGGGUGGCGAGUGGCGGACGGGUGAGGAAUACAUCGGAAUCUACUCUGUCGUGGGGGAUAACGUAGGGAAACUUACGCUAAUACCGCAUACGACCUACGGGUGAAAGCAGGGGACCUUCGGGCCUUGCGCGAUUGAAUGAGCCGAUGUCGGAUUAGCUAGUUGGCGGGGUAAAGGCCCACCAAGGCGACGAUCCGUAGCUGGUCUGGGAGGAUGGUCAGCCACACUGGAACUGAGAAACGGUCCAGACUCCUACGGGAGGCAGCAAUGGGGAAUAUUGGACAAUGGGCGCAAGCCUGAUCCAGCCAUACCGCGUGGGUGAAGAAGGCCUUCGGGUUGUAAAGCCCUUUUGUUGGGAAAGAAAUCCAGCUGGCUAAUACCCGGUUGGGAUGACGGUACCCAAAGAAUAAGCACCAGCUAACUUCGUGCCAGCAGCCGCCGUAA